RNAcentral lists this ribosomal RNA (129 nucleotides) under uncultured bacterium. RNAcentral's name for it is "partial 16S ribosomal RNA". The record is from RNAcentral.
GCCGCGUGAGUGAUGACGGCCUUCGGGUUGUAAAGCUCUUUCUCAGGGAAGAAAAUGGCGGUACCUGACUAAGAAGCCCCCGCCAUGACGUGCCGCCCGCCGCCGUUCCUAGCCAGCCGCCGCGGUAAU